UCUUGCUCUGUUGACCAGACCGUGACCUCCUGGGUUCAAGCGAGGACUCAGCCUCCUGAGUAGCCAGGACUACAGGGUCUUGCUCUGUUGACCAGACCGUGACCUCCUGGGUUGAAGUGAGGACUCAGCCUCCUGAGUAGCCGGGACUACAGGGUCUUGCUCUGUUGACCAGACCGUGACCUCCUGGGUUCAAGCGAGGACUCAGCCUCCUGAGUAGCCGGGACUACAGGGUCUUGCUCUGUUGACCAGACCGUGACCUCCUGGGUUGAAGUGAGGACUCAGCCUCCUGAGUAGCCGGUACUACAGGUAUG
Long non-coding RNA from Pan troglodytes (chimpanzee), 311 nucleotides. RefSeq lists it as uncharacterized. The transcript is spliced from 4 exons. The record is from RefSeq and is a predicted model, not a curated record. NCBI's taxonomy places the organism in Eukaryota, Metazoa, Chordata, Mammalia, Primates, Hominidae.